RNAcentral lists this ribosomal RNA (1563 nucleotides) under Elsinoe arachidis. Its description in RNAcentral is "LSU rRNA". It matches the Rfam family "Eukaryotic large subunit ribosomal RNA", at positions 74 to 1693 of the family's 3401-position model. The record is from RNAcentral. Lineage: Eukaryota; Fungi; Ascomycota; Dothideomycetes; Myriangiales; Elsinoaceae.
AUUGCCUCAGUAACGGCGAGUGAAGCGGCAACAGCUCAAAUUUGAAAUCUGGCGCCUUCGGCGUCCGAGUUGUAAUUUGUAGAGGAUGCUAUUGGGUUGCCACCGGUCUAAGUUCCUUGGAACAGGACGUCACAGAGGGUGAGAAUCCCGUAUGUGACCGGCCAGGCGCCUUCUGUAUAGCUCCUUCGACGAGUCGGGUUGUUUGGGAAUGCAGCCCUAAAUGGGAGGUAAAUUUCUUCUAAAGCUAAAUACCGGCCAGAGACCGAUAGCGCACAAGUAGAGUGAUCGAAAGAUGAAAAGCACUUUGGAAAGAGAGUUAAAAAGCACGUGAAAUUGUUGAAAGGGAAGCGCUUGCAAUCAGUCUCGACGGCGGCUGUUCGGCCUCUCUUCUGAGUGGUUUAUUCAGUCGCCGCCGGGCCAGCAUCAGUUUUGGCGGUUGGAUAAAGGCGUGGGGAAUGUAGCUCCUCCGGGAGUGUUAUAGCCCCGCGUGCAAUACGGCCCGCCGGGACUGAGGUCCGCGCUUCGGCUAGGAUGCUGGCGAAAUGGUUGUAAGCGGCCCGUCUUGAAACACGGACCAAGGAGUCUAACAUCUACGCGAGUGUUUGGGUGUCAAACCCGUGCGCGAAAUGAAAGUGAACGGAGGUGGGAACCGCAAGGUGCACCAUCGACCGAUCCUGAUGUCUUCGGAUGGAUUUGAGUAAGAGCGUAGCUGUUGGGACCCGAAAGAUGGUGAACUAUGCCUGAAUAGGGUGAAGCCAGAGGAAACUCUGGUGGAGGCUCGCAGCGGUUCUGACGUGCAAAUCGAUCGUCAAAUUUGGGUAUAGGGGCGAAAGACUAAUCGAACCAUUCUAAAAGUACCGAUUGAUCAGCAGGCUUGACGCUACUUAACAAUUUUUGCUUUAUCGCACGGAAAUCAUUUUGCGCUUUAUUGCCACAAGACAUGCCUGCGUGUCACGCUUUAUUUUUUGUUAAGAAAGUAGCAAUCAAUCGAAAGUCUACUAGGUGGUUAGGAGGCGCCUCAAAGUGAGCGUCUAGUCCCACGGUCUGGGGCAACACUAUCAAAUUGCGGGGACGUCCUGAAGCUUUAACUACCGCAUCUAAGUCGAAAGUGCUUAGCAUCGCACCGGGUUAGCGACCCCGGGUAUGGUAAUAACGUUAGAGAUUGGAUAAUCCGCAGCGAAGCCCUAAGGGACAGUGGCAGGCGCAAUGCUGCCACUGACCUAUGGGUAGCGUUCACAGACUAAAUGGUAGUGGGUGGAUCUCUUUAGCUGUACGAUUUGUUACGUUUUGCCCAAACGAACAAGGUCCAGUAAAGAUAAGGGAUGCCGCUUAAGAUAUAGUCGAUCCCACGUUGAAAGGCGUGUCUGUGGGCUAAAUCCGUUGGUAAGACACUGGCCAGUAGAGACCACGGGGGUCUUUUGCUGGCGCCGAUGGACCCGAACUCACAGAGUCUAGUGGAAAACACACCCUAGACCGGGCGAAGCAUAUCAGGAAAGAGUGGGGAGUUGGCUUACAACUAUUAUUAUUUAUUAUUAUCUGAAUGUUCGCUUGGUGUAGAGAAAU